Molecule: ribosomal RNA, 549 nt
Filed under: uncultured bacterium
Lineage: Bacteria
Description: bacterial SSU rRNA
Rfam family: Bacterial small subunit ribosomal RNA
Source: RNAcentral
UAGGGAAUCUUCCGCAAUGGGCGAAAGCCUGACGGAGCAACGCCGCGUGAGUGAUGAAGGUCUUCGGAUCGUAAAACUCUGUUAUUAGGGAAGAACAUAUGUGUAAGUAACUGUGCACAUCUUGACGGUACCUUAUCAGAAAGCCACGGCUAACUACGUGCCAGCAGCCGCGGUAAUACGUAGGUGGCAAGCGUUAUCCGGAAUUAUUGGGCGUAAAGCGCGCGUAGGCGGUUUUUUAAGUCUGAUGUGAAAGCCCACGGCUCAACCGUGGAGGGUCAUUGGAAACCGGAAAACUUGAGUGCAGAAGAGGAAAGUGGAAUUCCAUGUGUAGCGGUGAAAUGCGCAGAGAUAUGGAGGAACACCAGUGGCGAAGGCGACUUUCUGGUCUGUAACUGACGCUGAUGUGCGAAAGCGUGGGGAUCAAACAGGAUUAGAUACCCUGGUAGUCCACGCCGUAAACGAUGAGUGCUAAGUGUUAGGGGGUUUCCGCCCCUUAGUGCUGCAGCUAACGCAUUAAGCACUCCGCCUGGGGAGUACGACCGCAAGGUU